GUGCUUUUAUUUAACAUUAAAAAAGAAUGUAGACAUUGAUCGAGGAUCAAUGAUUUUAAAAAAAUUGCAUUUAUUGAGCAAACUAUCUGUAAAACGUGUACAUAAAUAGUUAUUGGUGUUGUGUAACAGAAUAUACGAUAUUGGAAACGUUAUCAUAUAAAAUUAUCAUCAGUUGGAUUUUGUAUCUAUCAAGUAAAUGGAUAUGUCACCUGCACAUAAUAAAAUGGAACUUGAACCAUUGAAACAAUCAUUAAACCUACCUGACGCAUCUUAUCAGUGUACCAUGCAAAAUAGUUACAUUAUCGAAUCUAAUAAUGAUUCAACAGUCAGUACAGUGCCUCAUCAGCAUAUGCAGGAAGAGCAGAACAGUAGCAGAGCAACAGAAAGUACCAAUUUGACGCCAAGCAGAAGUCAAACAUAUUUUGCUGAUGAAAAAGUUCGGAUUCCAGACACAGAUAAUAGCAUAUUUAGUUUCAAAAAAUUAUGGGCAUUCACAGGUCCUGGAUUUUUAAUGUCCAUAGCUUAUCUAGAUCCUGGGAAUAUAGAAUCUGAUUUACAGUCUGGAGUAGCUGCUAAGUAUAAAUUAUUAUGGGUAUUACUAAGCGCAACAAUCCUAGGUCUUGUUAUGCAAAGACUAAGCGCAAGGCUCGGCGUGGUAACAGGUUUGCAUCUAGCAGAAAUGUGUUACAGACAAUAUAAAAAAGUACCUAGAAUGAUUUUAUGGAUAAUGAUAGAAGUAGCUAUAAUUGGUAGUGACAUGCAAGAAGUAAUAGGAACAGCCAUUGCUCUGUCUUUAUUGACAAACAAAGCGAUUCCUAUAUGGGGCGGUGUGUUAAUCACUGUAAUCGACACUUUUACAUUUUUAUUAUUGGACAAAUAUGGUUUAAGAAAAUUGGAAUUCUUUUUUGGAUUUCUUAUCACAAUAAUGGCUGUUACCUUUGGUUACGAGUAUAUUGUUUCCGCACCCCCGCAAAAUGAAGUGAUUAGCGGAAUGUUUGUACCGUGGUAUAAACAUUAUGACAGUAAUAUGUUACUACAAGCCGUUGGAAUUGUUGGUGCAGUCAUAAUGCCACAUAAUUUAUAUCUUCACAGUGCUCUUGUUAAAUCAAGGGACAUCGAUCGUAGGGAAUACAAGAAAGUUAAAGAGGCAAAUAUGUAUUAUUUUGUCGAAGCCUGCAUUGCGCUUUUAGUUUCUUUCAUUAUUAACGUUUUCGUUGUCGCGGUGUUUGCCCAUGGUCUUUAUCAAAAAACGAAUCUAGAAGUUUAUAAUCUUUGUGAAGCAAAUAACUAUACUAUGGGUAUGGAAACAUUUGAAAAAGCGAAUACAACGAUAUCAGUAGAUUUAAACAAAGGUGGUAUAUUUCUUGGGUGUGCCUUUGGUGCGGCUGCAAUGUACAUUUGGGCUGUUGGUAUUUUUGCUGCUGGCCAGUCUUCCACAAUGACGGGAACGUACGCAGGACAGUUUGCGAUGGAAGGUUUCUUGAAUCUUCAGUGGGCUCGUUGGAAGCGAGUUCUCUUCACAAGAAUGAUCGCCAUCGUACCUACUUUUCUCGUUGCAUUCUUUAGUGAUAUAGAUAAUUUAACUGGAAUGAACGACAUUUUAAACGCUAUUAUGACACUUCAGUUACCUUUUGCAACGUUACCAACAAUAGCAUUUACCAGUAGCGCUCAAAUAAUGGGUGAAUUCAAGAAUGGAAUAACGAAUAAAGUUGUUGCAACAGCAUUGUCUGCUGUUGUAAUAACCAUAAAUAUAUAUUUUGUAAUAAAUACGGUUCGGGAAGAUUUACCACAUCACUGGGCGGUGAUACUUGCAAUUUCUAUUUAUUCUAUUUUGUAUCUUUUAUUCUGUCUUUAUCUUGUCAUUCAUAUGGCUGUGAGCAUGGGUGCAAGUUCUCUCAAUGACUACUGGCUUGUGAAAAAAUAUGUCGGAAGUCCUGUAAGUACAACACUUGGAUUAUCAAAUCCUGCUGUGUAUGCAAGCUUCUUCAAUGUAUCAGAAACAUCCCUAAACAUAUAAUUGAGUUUGCUUCAUAAAAGUUCUUUAAACAAGUUAUUCUUCUAAAUUCAAAAUGUGCAUAUUUUAAAACAAUUGCAACAUCAUCCGAGUUCAACAUUAUUCAUGGUAUUUACUUCUUAUCUAUCAGGUUUAUUUUAUCAUGCGUGUGUUUAUUAAAAUUUGAUUAAUGAUUUUUUUUUUUUUUGAACAAUUAACCACGUAUAUUUUCAUUGCAUGUUCGUUUUUAACGAGCGAAAGGGUGGGCUUUCGAUAUUAACUUAAUUUUCGAAAUUUUCUAACAGAAGAUCGAAUCCUGCAUUUAACAUUCAAGAAAAUUGGACCGGAAGUUUCUCUGCAAUACCGGAAAGCUAGUUAUUUAUUUUUAUUAUAGAAAUACGGUAAAGUGUAUAAUACUCAUGAAUCGUGGCUCAUAUUUUUUAAAAUUUUAAAAAAUUGUACAAAAUUGAAAACUAGACUUUUACAAUCGAAUCGUACUUUUAAAUUCUUUUAUCUGAUAUAUUUAAAUAUUGGCGUAUUAUAUACAAGACAAUUACAUUUGUACAUACUUAUACUAAUUGUAUAAUAAAAUAAUUUAAUUCCUUAAAAGUAACCGUGUAAAAAAAAAAUGAAAACAUUUGAAUAAAUAUAAUUUAAAAGUGCAAAAAAUGUGAUAUGUGAAAAGUCGUUUAAAUAGUAAAUAACACAGACUUGGGAAUCAGUUUGCUCCCGCCCGCUGUAGAGGACGGAUCGUUGUUGGUAUGUAGAAAUACUUUUGAAUUAAAACUCUCAUUCUGAACGAGCGUACAAUAUUUUUAACAUCCAUUAUUAAAACGAAUAAUAAUUCUAACAACUGUAUAGUUUUAAAUAUUUGUUUUAUUCACUUUCAAAUGUCACAAAAAUAUUUCAAAUUCGAUACGAUUUAUAUUUGUACAUAUAUCAUAAUAUCAAUCAAUUACAUAUUAUAGAGGAAAAUAGUUGAGUUAGAAAAAAUUUUAAACCAAUAUUCGACUCAGGCAAAACGUAAUUCAUUUUUUGGUUUUGAGUAUUGUCUAUUUUUUUUUUAAGUCUAAUUCGUCGCGUGUUUCGAACGUAUUGUUCACAAGUUAUUUUGAAACUAAAGAUAAAAAGGUUAAGACAUAUGUUUCUAUUUAAAAGUAAUAUUUCUCUUUAGUUCUUGUAACUUAAGAAUAGUAUGACUAGACAUUUCGUAAACUAUGGCAAACAUAUCUUUAGAUUUUAUAAUAUUUAAAUGUUUUAUACUUGACAUCAAUACAAAUUCAAUUACAAUGUACAAUAAAAUUGAAUAAAUGUUAAUUUAAUUAUAUAAAUAUAAUGUAUGGUAAAUAAUGUGCACCCUGAGUGAAAAAAUGUAAAAUAAUGCAGUUGUUUUAAAGAAUUUAUAGAAAAAUAUCUUUUAUCAAUAUAUCAUUAAAACUGUUAUCUUUCCUCUGUAUUACCAUACAUUAUUAAUUAGCAAAUAACUUUUAAUACUUCUUCUGUAAUUAAUUCGUAAACGUUUUUAUAGAUCACCUUUCCAUAUUUUUAAAAAUCACAGAUAACAUUUUUAUGUUUCUAGAAAUCAAUUUAAGUAAUAUAGUGCUUUGCAAUCACAAAAAUAAUUAAGAAUCUAAUAGUUUUAUCAGAUCAUUAAAAAUUCUUAUAAAAGUUGUCUUAUCAUUUUGUCUACUGUUUCCUUCCUUAUCAGCUAUAUUCUUUAUUUUUCAUCGAUUUAGAUUUGCAAACA
RNA transcript from Osmia bicornis bicornis, 3740 nucleotides. It is a transcript of the gene named protein Malvolio, with no coding region annotated. The transcript has 14 exons. The record is from RefSeq and is a predicted model, not a curated record. Lineage: Eukaryota; Metazoa; Arthropoda; Insecta; Hymenoptera; Megachilidae.